RNAcentral lists this ribosomal RNA (259 nucleotides) under uncultured Hyphomicrobiales bacterium. RNAcentral describes it as "uncultured Rhizobiales bacterium partial 16S ribosomal RNA". It matches the Rfam family "Bacterial small subunit ribosomal RNA", at positions 544 to 802 of the family's 1533-position model. The record is from RNAcentral. Lineage: Bacteria; Pseudomonadati; Pseudomonadota; Alphaproteobacteria; Hyphomicrobiales.
CUCGGAAUCACUGGGCGUAAAGGGCGCGUAGGCGGCUUGCCAAGUCGGGGGUGAAAGCCCGUGGCUCAACCACGGAAUGGCCUUCGAUACUGGCAGGCUUGAGACCGGAAGAGGACAGCGGAACUGCGAGUGUAGAGGUGAAAUUCGUAGAUAUUCGCAAGAACACCAGUGGCGAAGGCGGCUGUCUGGUCCGGUUCUGACGCUGAGGCGCGAAAGCGUGGGGAGCAAACAGGAUUAGAUACCCUGGUAGUCAAGGGCG